GGGGGGGGGGGGGGGGGGGGGGGGGGGGGGCGGGGCGGGGGGGGGGGGCCGGCUUGGGGGGGGGGCGCGGGGGGCGAACGGGGGGGUGGCACGGGGGUGCCCUGCCCUGGAGUUUGGGCUGACUUCCGGCCACUGGGUCUCAUACCGGAUCGCAUCUCCUGCUGCAUGGUGUGGGUGGGACAGGUUCGGCGGUUGGGGAUGGACUCGCGGCUUAUCAGCUUGUUGGUGUGGUAGUGGCUUACCAAGGCUUUGACGGGUAGACGGCCUGAGAGGGUGACCGGCCACAUUGGGACUGAGAUACGGCCCAGACUCCUACGGGAGGCAGCAGUGGGGAAUAUUGCACAAUGGGCGGAAGCCUGAUGCAGCAACGCCGCGUGCGGGAUGACGGCCUUCGGGUUGUAAACCGCUUUCGCCUGUGACGAAGCGUGAGUGACGGUAAUGGGUAAAGAAGCACCGGCUAACUACGUG
RNAcentral lists this ribosomal RNA (468 nucleotides) under uncultured bacterium. RNAcentral's name for it is "partial 16S ribosomal RNA". The stretch from base 52 to 468 matches the Rfam family "Bacterial small subunit ribosomal RNA", at positions 35 to 507 of the family's 1533-position model. The record is from RNAcentral.